Molecule: long non-coding RNA, 6207 nt
Organism: Prinia subflava (tawny-flanked prinia)
Lineage: Eukaryota; Metazoa; Chordata; Aves; Passeriformes; Cisticolidae
Exons: 4
Source: RefSeq, a predicted model, not a curated record
AUGUGACCAAGAGCAUCAUCCAGAUGCUCCUUGAAUUCUGGCAGGUUCCGUGCCAUGACCACUUCUCUGGGGAGUCCAUUCUAGUGAUCAACCACUCUCUCAGUGAAGAACUUUUUCCUAAUUGUGGGAACUGACAGUGAUCAGAUUUUAGGCUUCAGGCACUUGCUAAAAAGACAAGUGAGCGACUCUCUCAUUCUGGCCUGGGAAAAUCCUAAGGAAGAAUCCAAACAGUCCUUGGGAGGUGAAAAACAGUUAGCAGGUGGUGUUUUUUUAACUUAUUUACUGGCAAAGAUGUUUACAAAGAGGUGUAGGCUCUAAAUGACCAAUCAUAUUCAUUGUACCAAAGUACUGUAUAAAAAGUGUUUUGAAGAAUAAAGAUCGCUCUCCACUUGCUGUGAGCUGGGAGUCAUGUCGUUAUCAUGCCGUCCUUAAAGCAAUAGCAACAUAUGGUGGACCCCCGACUAUCCUUUGACACAGUCACAAUAAUUCAUCACAGCCUAGACUGAAGAAUUGCCACCUGCUUUCCUCUGAAGAGGUAAGCGACAUAUCCCCCGCGCCUUCCUGGAGAAGGCUGGUCCCGCUGACCACGAAGAAGAAUGACCCUGCCAAAUAGAGCGGGUAGGACAGCACCCAGCGAAGCUGGAGUCUGGAUUUUACGACAGACCACUGCGACUGCUGAGCUGUGGUACUGCGGGCUGCCAGGCAGAGGUUCCAGGACUGGGGAACCCGCCCUCCAGAGAGGCCAAAUUGUGCCUCUUGUGACAGGGCAGUUGGAAUUCUCUGCUGCUGACAACUUCUUUUGCUCCCCCCCCACCCUUCCCCCCAGGCUCCUCUGUUUCCAUUCGCGGUAUGAAAGCAAACAUGCACAAGCUGCAUUCUCUGCUGGCGGGGACGGGACUUAGAGUGGGCCAAUCGAGCUCAUCAUUGCCUGCAGCGUUUGCUGUUGCUGCCUUCCCACGCCUCCACCCUUCCAGCUUACCUGGACUUCUGGGGAUGUGAGACUCUGGCCACCUUUACCGUGCUUCAGUUUUCCUGCAGAGAGCAGGCAGCCGGGGACUCUGAUUGCCUUGGCUCCUCCUCCUCCUCUCUCCGCAUCGCGGAUGGCUGCGCAGGGGUUACUGCUUCAUCAGCAGCUGUGAAUGGUCUGUACCAUGAGUUUAAAAGAUGCCAGCCCAUUUCAGAUACAUCUGGUUGGAUUCGUGGACCCCGAGUGUGACGUAGCGACUCUUUCUUUCUCUGCAUGGCCCAGCACCUGGCCUUUGGCUGUGGGACCAGACAUCACAGGAACUAGAGGCAGAAUCCAGACAUUUGUAAGCCCAUAAUCUGUCCUGGUCACAAAUGCAGAAGGACAGACAGUGGUGCUCCGGCCCUGAGUUGCAGAGGUUCCCCUCAAUAUCUGGGGGAGGGAUCUGUUGGCAGCCUGGGAAACCACAGGUUGCAGACAGCGAGAAGGCUGCUGUCCCGCGAGGGGGGUGGUGGAGACCAGGUGCUCAACUCUUAAUCCCCUCAGCAUUCUGUGUUUUCCAUGUAGGACUGCCUUGUGUCAUUCUUAGGUGUGAAAAACGAGGUUCACUUUGUAAAAUUUUAAAAGUUUAAUAAAAAAAUACAAAUAGACAAUCAGGACACAAUAAGAACAAAAGUAUUCUUUUACAGGUGCCUGGGUACUGUUAUAAAUGCCAAUACAGUAGUCCAAUUAAAAUAUAAUUUUUGGUUUAUUAAAAAGGAUCAAACUACAGAAUUUCAGCAAAACCACCAGCAGCGGAGUUACAAUGACGAUUGACCCGGGAAUCGUCAAGGGUGAACUGGGGCGCAGUAUCUGGCCAACUGCCGUCCCCCCUGAGUUCACGAACUGGCCUUGUUCUGGGCUUAGUUUUUAUACACUUUAUUCUGCCUCUGGCAAAAAUUUCCUCAGUCCUUUUGUUUCCAAGCUAGUUAUUCGAAUUCAUAGUCGUCUCUGGCUGAACUGAAAAGAGUUUCCUCCUCUGCUGCAAGGUGUCAAUUUCUAGUUUCCCGUGAGUGAAUGGACACCAAAGUUUAUUAACAGAAAGAGUUCUUCUCCGGAGAUUUAGACUAGAUGAUGGUGCUCUGAUGGUGGACGCUCUGAUGAUGGUGUUCCUGAUGGCUGAUGAUAAUGAUCUGAUGGCUCUGUUGUCCAUGGGGGAAGGACUGAUAACUUAUCUUAAUGUCCUUUUCUGAUGCCAAAGAGAAGGCCAGUGUUUCCCUUAAAUCCUUUGUUCUCCUUUCUAAAUGUAAAUUCCAGGGUGGUGCCUGCCUCUGUCUCAGCGAAUUUUCAAGGCAGACUGAAACUAUAUUCUCAUAUAACAUAUAUACAGUGGUUUUCAUAAUUUUUAACAUGUCAUAACCCAUAAGAAUACGAAUGAAUACCCCAUAUUUUUCACAGUACCCUCACAUGGGAUUCACCAUGCAGGUACCCCACUUAACAAAAGACUCAUCCCUUAAAAAUACUAGUGUGUUGAAUAUUCAUACAUUACAUACAUGAUUCAAACAUUCAUUUCAAAUCGUAGGUGUUCCUGUUUAAUCUCAAUCCCCCCCUUCUCCCUUCCAUUCAUAAAUCUGGUCGUCUCAUAGCGCCUUUAAGUUGCGGAGCUAUGUCAUAAAUCUUUUCUCAGAGCCUUUUUGGUCGUUGCUGCUAUCUCUUAUCAAGCUAGGAUACUGUGAAAAAAAUCUUUGGUUAUCUUCUCUGUUUCUCAAGUUAAUUACAAAAGCAUCUCUACAUAACAAUUUCUAUUGUACUAUUAUUCUAUAACCUAAAAACUACAUUUAUUAUAUUACUGAAAGCAGCUAUAUGAAUACAGUAUAACUUCCCAACACAACACAUGGGAUAUCCAUUUUAAUAUGUGCGAAAAGCCAAUUAUAUAAUAUACAUUUAUAACAUUCGUGAAAAGAACGGGGCAUAUGCCUUUAUUAAUAUUCAGCUCUUUAUUAAAGUGAUCAGCUCAUUAUUAAAGUCAUCAGCAGGAUUGCAGAGUCCGAUCGGAGUUUUCCACGCUGCUGCAGCCGUCCGAAGGAGCAGGUGCUGUCCCAGUUCAUCAUUCCACUGCAAACAGUAGAUGCCGAGUCCUUGUUCCCAUAGGAACGGCCUAGGAGUUCUCUCUGGUCAACCAUCAGGAGGCAGGGUGGAUGAGCAGUCUGCUGCAGGGGUGCAGAGUCAGCUCUUUGCCCUCAGGGAAACCUUCAAGAGUUCCCCGUUCUCUGUCGCAUCAGCUCAGCUGGCCAAUUCCCAUUCCAUUCAGGCUCCUCAAAGGUCAUGGCGAAUCUUCAAACUAGGCCAGGGGGUGCAUCCACCCCCCGCUCGGCCAGGGCACUAUCCAAUUCUCUUCUGAUGAAUCCAGCUUCCUGUCCCGGGGUGCAGUUUCCCCAAGAAAAAACUCCCAGGAUCCAUGGGGGCAGCCCUAUCUGCAUAUACAAAUGCAUAUGCAUUUGUCCUGGUCGCAGCAGAGGUUGUUACAAAAAGCAAUAACCGGGCAAUUAAGGCUGGAGCCGCUCCUUUUCACUUUUUAAUGAGGUAGGAAAGUGUUGCCAGGCAACUCCUCUUCAGGGCAGGCAGCUUCCCUCCCCACUCAAACUUGCUGGGGUGUGGGGGUUAAACAGGAAAAACCCCCUAGGACAAGGACAGCCCAGCCUUUUUUUCUUUUUUUUUUUUUUUUUUUUUUUUUUUUUUUUUUUUUUUUUUUACGGGGAAACUUGUUCAUAACAUUCGGGCUUGGUUUCUGUGCUUUCUCUUUGUUUUUCCUUCUGCGGGAGUUUGGGGUGGGAGAGAUGGAAAUGCAGCCCUGAGAGGCUGUGGCGGGCCGAUCUCUCUGUCUCUCUCUCCGUGCCCAGCCCCUACAUUCUCCCCGCGGCACCUGCGGGAUGGUGGUUGGAAUCCUUUUUCCGUUUUUCCUCUUGCCAUUGGCACCCUGCUCCUGCAGUUGUGCGGGCGCAAGGCAAGAGCGGGGAGACCCAUGCCUGACAGGAAGCCCGGCAGCCAACACUGCACGGGCAGGCUCUGCCCUUGCCUUCCCCCCCGCUCCUCGGCGGGCGGGGGCACGGCUGGCCGGAGGCCCUGCCGGCUCCUGCGGCAGCGGCAGCAGCCACGGUCUCUUUAUUGCUGCUGCCAUAGCAGCAAAGGGCUAGGGCAGCUGACCCAAGACCGAAAUGCCGGAUCAGCCCCUGCCACUUCUGGGCUCUGUAUUGGGCUGCAGGGAAGCGGCAGCCAGAGCUUUUUCUCCGUGCCCAAUUCUUUCCCUCUUCCCCUGCGGAGCCAAGGGUGGAGGUUUCCCCCCCGCUCUGAUGGCACUGGGGGGAGAUGUGGCUGGGGUGUCUCUCCUUUCCUCUCUUGGUGAUAUCCCCCCCUUGUCCCCCCACUCUGUGCUGCAGGACAAGCAGCUUUGCCGCUCCCCCCACCCCCCAACCCUGCACGGCGCGGCAGGAGCCGUCGAUGUGGUGCCGCUGCCCCAGCGCAAAGGGGGACUGGGUGCAGCUUUCUGCCAAGGGGACAGGCUCCUUGCCUCCUUCUCCCCCCCUCAAAAACCAUGAAUGGGGGCCACCAGCUCUCUGCCAGAGAGACUGACAGUGGAAGGUUAAAAAAAUUGUAUAAGUUAACCGUGGGUAGUUGAGGGGGGGAAGGUAGAAGAAGCACAAUCUGAAUUUGAAGUAGCCUGGCUUUGGAACAAAUGUCAGCUUCUGCAACUAGCUUUAUACUAUUGUUUUAAGUAUGACUCCAGCCCAGGAGAUAAUUGAGAAGCAUUGUUUUAACCAAAUCAAGUAGAACCCAGGGUAAAGCGUAGGUAUGAUUUAAGAUAGUAACUAAGAAAUAGGAUAACCAGUAUCUAGGGGUGGAGGUUAGUUAACAUGUGUAUAAUUUGAAACUAUAAAAAUCACAGAUCGACUCUGUAUUCUUGGGCACAAGAUUUGGGCACUGUAUGCCCCUGUGUCCAGCGUGCUCAAAUAAAGAACCGCAUAUGAUCGCCUUGGUGUGGUUAUAUGUUUUCCUACGCUAACAUUUUUGGCGACCUUGUGGGCACAGCCAGGACCCCGCUCCAGCCGGCACCGGGUGAUUUCUUGGGGAGCCCAUCGGCUCCAUGUCCCUUGCCGCUCACAACGACCCCUGGUGAGAGGUAAUUAUCUUGGUUUGCCUGUGCCUGCUCCUCCUCCGCCUGCUCCGGUGCCUGCCCCUGCUGUGCCUGCUCAGAGAACCCCCCCUUCUCCACAUAUACUUGAUGAAAGCUAUCCUGCCCCCCCGCCGACACCUGCUGAAAGAUUUAUUCCUCCUCCAACACCAGUUCACAGGAAAACUCUAGCUCAGCUUCGAAGUGUUCUCAUGUAGAAUAGACCACUGGCCCUGGAGAAUCCAGUCCACAAUAUCAAACCAGGAGAUGAAGUAUACAUCAAAACCUGAAACGAAGAACCAGUAAAAGAAAAGUGGACUGGUCCCCAUCAGGUACUGCUAACUAUCACCGCGGGGCCUGACGUUAUUUGGUUAGUUUACAGAAUCCUGAAGAGAGAGAUACAGAAAAAGGCAUCUUGGAACAGGACCAUAAUGAAGGCAUUGGCACGGAAUCCAUAUCCAGCGCCUUCGAUCCGCAACAACAUCCCGGACAAAGCCCAUGACAACAGAGGAUUUGAAGAUGAACAUCCUGUAUAAACUCUGAAGCCAAAUGGACUGUAUUAAGUGAAAGCAUUUACACUUAGUAUAUUAGAGUGAAAAUACUUUCAAAGGGGGGAAUGAUAGUGGAGGGUUAAAAAAUUGUAUAAGUUAACCGUGGGUAGUUGAGGGGGGGAAAGGUAGAAGACGCACAAUCUGAAUUUGACGUAGCCUGGCUUUGGAACAAACGUCAGCUUCUGCAACUAGCUUCAUACUAUUGUUUUAAGUAUGACUCCAGCCCAGGAGAUAAUUGAGAAGCAUUGUUUUAACCAAAUCAAGUAGAACCCAGGGUAAAGCGUAGGUAUGAUUUAAGAUAGUAACUAAGAAAUAGGAUAACCAGUAUCUAGGGGUGGAGGUUAGUUAACAUGUGUAUAAUUUGAAACUAUAAAAAUCACAAAUCAACUCUGUAUUCUUGGGCACAUGAUUUGAGCACUGUAUGCCCCUGUGUCCCACGCGCUCAAAUAAAGAACCGCAUAUGAUCACCUUCGUGUGGUUAUAUGUUUUCCUAUGCUAACAAGACGGCAGCAGGUAAGGGCUGAGGACAGCCAAGGCUGCUUGGU